This 497-nucleotide ribosomal RNA is filed under the name uncultured bacterium. RNAcentral describes it as "partial 16S ribosomal RNA". It matches the Rfam family "Bacterial small subunit ribosomal RNA", at positions 28 to 507 of the family's 1533-position model. The record is from RNAcentral.
GAUGAACGCUGGCGUCGUGCCUAAUACAUGCAAGUCGAGCGAACGGACGAGAAGCUUGCUUCUCUGAUGUUAGCGGCGGACGGGUGAGUAACACGUGGAUAACCUACCUAUAAGACUGGGAUAACUUCGGGAAACCGGAGCUAAUACCGGAUGAUAUUUUGAACCGCAUGGUUCAAAAGUGAAAGACGGUCUUGCUGUCACUUAUAGAUGGAUCCGCGCUGCAUUAGCUAGUUGGUAAGGUAACGGCUUACCAAGGCAACGAUGCAUAGCCGACCUGAGAGGGUGAUCGGCCACACUGGAACUGAGACACGGUCCAGACUCCCACGGGAGGCAGCAGUAGGGAAUCUUCCGCAAUGGGCGAAAGCCUGACGGAGCAACGCCGCGUGAGUGAUGAAGGUCUUCGGAUCGUAAAACUCUGUUAUUAGGGAAGAACAUAUGUGUAAGUAACUGUGCACAUCUUGACGGUACCUAAUCAGAAAGCCACGGCUAACUACGUG